This 429-nucleotide ribosomal RNA is filed under the name Pseudomonadota bacterium. RNAcentral describes it as "Proteobacteria bacterium partial 16S ribosomal RNA". It matches the Rfam family "Bacterial small subunit ribosomal RNA", at positions 355 to 776 of the family's 1533-position model. The record is from RNAcentral. Lineage: Bacteria; Pseudomonadati; Pseudomonadota.
UGGGGAAUAUUGGACAAUGGGCGAAAGCCUGAUCCAGCCAUGCCGCGUGUGUGAAGAAGGUCUUCGGAUUGUAAAGCACUUUAAGUUGGGAGGAAGGGCAGUAAGCGAAUACCUUGCUGUUUUGACGUUACCGACAGAAUAAGCACCGGCUAACUCUGUGCCAGCAGCCGCGGUAAUACAGAGGGUGCAAGCGUUAAUCGGAAUUACUGGGCGUAAAGCGCGCGUAGGUGGUUCGUUAAGUGGAAAGUGAAAGCCCCGGGCUAAACCUGGGAACUGCAUCCAAAACUGGCGAGAUAGAGUAGGGAAGAGGGUGGUGGAAGUUCCUGUGUAGCGGUGAAAUGCGUAGAUCUAGGAAGUAACACCAGUGACGAAGGCGACCACCUGGGCUCAUACUGACACUGAGGUUCGAAAGCGUGGAGAGCAAACAGG